GCACUCUUUGCGGCAAAAGGAUUGCCAAUCAACAACUCUGUGUUCCGGUAGAUGUAACUCGGACAUCAAUAAUUUCUGUCGAGGAGGAUUCAGAGUUUCCCAGUAAGCCACAAAUUGCAACACUGUUUCCGCUGAUAAAUGGACACUACUAAAAAACGAGCCUUUGAAUACUGUACACUUAAAAGCACACUUGUGCUUGAUUUUAUUUGCUACGUACGACUUUUGACACCUAAAUUGUUUACUCUCCCAGUUCACCUUCACUUCAUUGUGACGCGUAGGACAGAUGGUAGAUGAUUUUCGAACUCCGUGAUUAAGUAAAAAUUCAUUACCUCUCUCCUUUUCUGUUGUUAAUAAAACCACUUCUUGAAUUGUAAAAUUACAACCGUCACACACCAUGAUUGCAAAAGCAAUUACUUAAACACCAAAAUCGCAACUAAUUAAUUGAAACUGCUAGUUAAUUUGUAAAUAAUGUCAAAAGUCUCACAGAAACACUUGUCACAAAAACGUAAACAAAAAUUACUUACCUUUGCGGCAAAAUCAUCAAUGAUCCUUAAUUGCUACUUCCGUUCAUUCAUCGUUUUUGAAGAGAGAAUCACGCAAUAUCAGCCUCCCGCGCGAAAGCCUUCCACACGUUAUUGCAUGGAGCCAAAAAAAAAAACGAGGUUGGUAGCACUGAAUCUGGUGACUUCUUCUCACCCCCCCCCCCUCAUCCGGACGUCAACACGAGGUGUCAACGGAUUCAUCCUUAACCUGAAUGGGCUUGUCUCCAAAAUAACCGAUUCAGUGUGUACUUUAUCAAAAUUUGGGGGCCAGAAUAGACGCACUGUGUUUUCCGAAGUUGUGCUGAGGGUGAAAAAGGUGUAACUAGUCUAUUUUGAGCGAUAGAAACAGGGAAAAGUGCAUAAAUGUAAAAGCCCGUCUUCUGCAUAAUUAAUCACAACCGCGGUGGAUGACUUCAUAAAUCAAAUUCUUCAAAGCGCGCUAUCUCAGUCAAUAUGUCAGUAGGAAGUUGCUGUUCGGACAGAUCUCAUUAUUUUCAGCCAAUAUCAAAAGGUCAAGCAUCAAAUCACGAUUCUGAGACCAGCGCAACUGACCCAUUGCAUUAUUCCAACUUAGAAAAAAUCAAGAUGGCAGUAAACCUAACUGCUCUCGUGGUGAUAGGUCAAAAUGUCCAAACCCUGAAUGCCCAAUAAUCUAAAAAGGCCAAAUAUCAGUGAUGUCCAGCAGACAGAUAAGUCCAAAAGUAGGCAAAUGUCCAAAUGUGAGAUUAGGCAUUGGUUGAGGUGUCAUUGGAUUUUUGGGUGCAGGGUGGCAAGCUGUCAGUGAAUGUAGCGAUAGAAACAGAUGCGUCGGAUAAUGGAGAGAUACAGGUUUGGAAAAUAUGGUGAUAAAAUUUUUCAUGAGAGCAGGCAAAUUCUUACUUUUAAAAAUGCAUUGUGAUUUAUUUUCCAAAUUUUAAGUGAUAUUGACAAACAUAACAAACAUGGCUAAUAUUACCCCGUUUGUCAUGAAAAGCCAAAAAAAAUUUAUUCUUGUCCAUAACAACUUAAUUUGGACAUUCACCUACUUUUGGACUUAUUUGUCUGCUGGACAUUACUGAUAUUUGGCCUUUUUAGAUUUUUGGGCAUUCAGGGUUUGGACAUUUUGACUUUUGGACAUUUUUGUUUGGACAUUUUGACCUAUCACCGCUCUCGUCGACGUUUUGACUAAAAAUUUCUCGACGCAAUCUCAAGGUCAAAAGCCCAUGUAAGUGUAAUAUACCCGAGUCCAAUUAAAGUUGAAUCGUAAGUUGAAUUUAAGUUGAGACCUUUAAGACCCUCAAGACCUUAGGAGACCCUUUCGGGGAAAGUAUUGAAGGAAACCUUAAGGAUCAGUAGGAAUAGUUUCUGCUUUACUGCGAGAUCUUUGAGCUGCUCUUUUCAUUGCAGGAACCUAGGACAGUUCGGUCACUAGCCUUUCUUGCUCAUUUUCUAAAGCAUCACAAACUACGAUACAUAGGUUGUCCCAAAAAUCCGGACUGGUUCUGUAACUUCAAAACCACGAUAGAUACACACAUGAUCUUGGUCUCGUUUUAAAGAUCAACUCAAUAUCUAUCGAUUAAACCAAGAUCAGCGCAAUCGCAUAACAAUUAACGGAGUUAUUACUAAUUUCCUCCCAAUUUUUCAUAUAAUUUAGUUCGCCAAUUUUACCUAAAGAUUCUGAAAAUUGUAAGAAAAAAUAUUCAUAACAUCCCUUAGAAAAUAAACAUUUUAUUGAUGGAAAUUUGCCAACUCUAGAAUGUAAAUGCGGCGUUCUUCUUUAGCACGGCAGAACAGGUCAUGGGUUCGAAUUCCGGUGGUGGCGACAAAUUUUCUAGGAACCGACUAGUGGAUCUGCAAAAACAGACUCCAGUCGGUCUUAAUCCCUGAAAAUUUGAAAACCUGGAGCAUGGGUGUGUACUAACCCUAAUCCGAUGCUCAUUCAAGGUUUUAGAAUCCUCCAAUGAUUUAAAAACAUAAAUAACUUCUAUAAAAAAGCCCGGCAAGAGUAUCUUGGUUUAUUUUGCGAGGAAAGCUCCGUACUCUUAAAGGAUGUCUGUCAUUCUGAGCACCUUCAAUUUCGUACGACACUGUGCAACACCUCUGUUGCGAAAUAGUCGCUUGAAGCGCCGAGCUGCGGCCGG
RNAcentral lists this long non-coding RNA (2662 nucleotides) under Bemisia tabaci. RNAcentral describes it as "lncRNA ENSSSA1UGG005279". The record is from RNAcentral. Lineage: Eukaryota; Metazoa; Arthropoda; Insecta; Hemiptera; Aleyrodidae.